This 766-nucleotide ribosomal RNA is filed under the name Staphylococcus aureus. Its description in RNAcentral is "bacterial SSU rRNA". It matches the Rfam family "Bacterial small subunit ribosomal RNA", at positions 28 to 776 of the family's 1533-position model. The record is from RNAcentral. Lineage: Bacteria; Bacillati; Bacillota; Bacilli; Caryophanales; Staphylococcaceae.
GAUGAACGCUGGCGGCGUGCCUAAUACAUGCAAGUCGAGCGAACGGACGAGAAGCUUGCUUCUCUGAUGUUAGCGGCGGACGGGUGAGUAACACGUGGAUAACCUACCUAUAAGACUGGGAUAACUUCGGGAAACCGGAGCUAAUACCGGAUAAUAUUUUGAACCGCAUGGUUCAAAAGUGAAAGACGGUCUUGCUGUCACUUAUAGAUGGAUCCGCGCUGCAUUAGCUAGUUGGUAAGGUAACGGCUUACCAAGGCAACGAUGCAUAGCCGACCUGAGAGGGUGAUCGGCCACACUGGAACUGAGACACGGUCCAGACUCCUACGGGAGGCAGCAGUAGGGAAUCUUCCACAAUGGGCGAAAGCCUGACGGAGCAACGCCGCGUGAGUGAUGAAGGUCUUCGGAUCGUAAAACUCUGUUAUUAGGGAAGAACAUAUGUGUAAGUAACUGUGCACAUCUUGACGGUACCUAAUCAGAAAGCCACGGCUAACUACGUGCCAGCAGCCGCGGUAAUACGUAGGUGGCAAGCGUUAUCCGGAAUUAUUGGGCGUAAAGCGCGCGUAGGCGGUUUUUUAAGUCUGAUGUGAAAGCCCACGGCUCAACCGUGGAGGGUCAUUGGAAACUGGAAAACUUGAGUGCAGAAGAGGAAAGUGGAAUUCCAUGUGUAGCGGUGAAAUACGCAGAGAUAUGGAGGAACACCAGUGGCGAAGGCGACUUUCUGGUCUGUAACUGACGCUGAUGUGCGAAAGCGUGGGGAUCAAACAGG